UUUUUUCUACGCAACUAUGUUUUUUUUAUGUAUUACUAUAUCUGUUCAUUUUUUCUUUAUGUAUUCAUGAACUUGUAUGUAUGUAUGUAUGAUGUGUGUUCAUUGUUUUUUUUUCUUUCUCUUUUUUCUUUUUAUAAUUACUUAUAUUUGAUUGAUGAUGAUAAAGUACAUUGUGUUUGUGUUUAAUCAAAUUAUUUGCUUUGUACUUGUGUCUUAUUCAUAGUUUG
This 227-nucleotide long non-coding RNA is filed under the name Lathyrus oleraceus (garden pea). Its description in RNAcentral is "Pisum sativum (pea) long non-coding RNA (PSAT_LNC004407)". Lineage: Eukaryota; Viridiplantae; Streptophyta; Magnoliopsida; Fabales; Fabaceae. The record is from RNAcentral.